UGACAGAGAGCGUGUGAACGAGGCCCGUGU
Molecule: non-coding RNA, 30 nt
Filed under: Homo sapiens (human)
Lineage: Eukaryota; Metazoa; Chordata; Mammalia; Primates; Hominidae
Source: RNAcentral